GACGAACGCUGGCGGCGUGCUUAACACAUGCAAGUCGAACGGAAAGGCCCUGCUUUUGUGGGGUGCUCGAGUGGCGAACGGGUGAGUAACACGUGAGUAACCUGCCCUUGACUUUGGGAUAACUUCAGGAAACUGGGGCUAAUACCGGAUAGGAGCUCCUGCUGCAUGGUGGGGGUUGGAAAGUUUCGGCGGGUGGGGAUGGACUCGCGGCUUAUCAGCUUGUUGGUGGGGUAGUGGCUUACCAAGGCUUUGGCGGGUAGCCGGCCUGAGAGGGUGACCGGCCACAUUGGGACUGCGAUACGGCCCAGACUCCUACGGGAGGCAGCAGUGGGGAAUAUUGCACAAUGGGCGGAAGCCUGAUGCAGCAACGCCGCGUGCGUGAUGACGGCCUUCGGGUUGUAAACCGCUUUCGCCUGUGACGAAGCGUGAGUGACGGUAAUGGGUAAAGAAGCACCGGCUAACUACGUG
RNAcentral lists this ribosomal RNA (468 nucleotides) under uncultured bacterium. RNAcentral's name for it is "partial 16S ribosomal RNA". It matches the Rfam family "Bacterial small subunit ribosomal RNA", at positions 28 to 507 of the family's 1533-position model. The record is from RNAcentral.